CAGGACGAACGCUGGCGGCGUGCUUAACACAUGCAAGUCGAGCGAUGAAGCUCUUCGGAAGUGGAUAGCGGCGGACGGGUGAGUAACACGUGGGUAACCUGCCUCAUAGAGGGGAAUAGCCUUCCGAAAGGAAGAUUAAUACCGCAUAAGAUUGUAAUAUCGCAUGAUAUAGCAAUUAAAGGAGUAAUCCGCUAUGAGAUGGACCCGCGUCGCAUUAGCUAGUUGGUGAGGUAACGGCUCACCAAGGCGACGAUGCGUAGCCGACCUGAGAGGGUGAUCGGCCACAUUGGGACUGAGACACGGCCCAGACUCCUACGGGAGGCAGCAGUGGGGAAUAUUGCACAAUGGGGGAAACCCUGAUGCAGCAAACCGCCGCGUGAGUGAUGACGGUCUUCGGAUUGUAAAGCUCUGUCUUCAGGGACGAUAAUGACGGUACCUGAGGAGGAAGCCACGGCUAACUACGUGCCAGCAGCUGC
RNAcentral lists this ribosomal RNA (476 nucleotides) under uncultured bacterium. RNAcentral describes it as "bacterial SSU rRNA". It matches the Rfam family "Bacterial small subunit ribosomal RNA", at positions 25 to 518 of the family's 1533-position model. The record is from RNAcentral.